Non-coding RNA from Arachis ipaensis, 533 nucleotides. Lineage: Eukaryota; Viridiplantae; Streptophyta; Magnoliopsida; Fabales; Fabaceae. The record is from RefSeq and is a predicted model, not a curated record.
UGAACCGCACUGCGCUGUUGGGGUUCUCACCGUCGCCAGAAAAGGAUUCAGGCCGCCGCAGGUGUCGCGGUCGGAGGAGAAAGCUGUUCCCCUGUGUUUUGACCGCCUGGAGUGGUUUUGUCACUUCCGGGAUCACCGCCGGAGCUCCGGGCUGAGCCUCUGCCGCUUGAGACCCUGCUGUCGUCGCCGGAAAAGGCUGUCGGUAAGGCUUUUAAGUUGAGUUUCCCUUCUGUUGAGUUUCCUGGAACUUCAUCGUCGCUGCGUGUGGUUCAGAUCGCCGCUGCUGCUUGGGGCUGACUGCCAGGUUGCCGCCGAACCGGUUCGGAGACCGCCGCUGUUUCGGUUCAACCGUUCCUUCUUCGGUUCGUGUUGCUAUGGUUAUUGUGAACGUGGCUGGGAGUUGAGGUUUUGGUUGCCGUCAGUUUGGGUCAAGGCGGAAAGGACUUGGUGACGCGUUUGAGUUAUGGAAUUGCGUUUUGAGGAUAUGGGCGCAGAAGUUACGAAGAGCUUAUCUAAUUGUUGUUGUGAUGCUC